UUCGGCCAUAGUGGCGCACGGGUGAGUAACGCGUGGGAACCUGCCCAGCAGUGGGGAAUAACUUCGGGAAACCGGGGCUAAUACCGCAUACGCCCUUAGGGGGAAAGAUUUAUCGCUGUUGGAGGGGCCCGCGUCCGAUUAGUUUGUUGGUGGGGUAAUGGCCUACCAAGACUACGAUCGGUAGCUGGUCUGAGAGGAUGAUCAGCCACACUGGGACUGAGAUACGGCCCAGACUCCUACGGGAGGCAGCAGUGGGGAAUAUUGGACAAUGGGCGCAAGCCUGAUCCAGCAAUGCCGCGUGAGUGAUGAAGGCCUUAGGGUUGUAAAGCUCUUUCGGCGGGGACGAUGAUGACGGUACCCGCAGAAGAAGCCCCGGCUAACUUCGUGCCAGCAGCCGCGGUAAUACGAAGGGGACUAGCGUUGUUCGGAAUUACUGGGCGUAAAGAGCACGUAGGCGGUUCGUUAAA
Molecule: ribosomal RNA, 467 nt
Filed under: uncultured Magnetospirillum sp.
Lineage: Bacteria; Pseudomonadati; Pseudomonadota; Alphaproteobacteria; Rhodospirillales; Rhodospirillaceae
Description: bacterial SSU rRNA
Rfam family: Bacterial small subunit ribosomal RNA
Source: RNAcentral